GGGAUUGGUUGGUGAGCCACGUAGGGCCCACCCUAUUUUUGUGUUCCUUGGUUUCUCACCUCUCUCAUCUCUCACAAUUAUCUCUUUUCCCUCGCUCUCCCUUAUCUCUCAUUCUCGACAACUCUCUUAACCCUCUCUCCCCCGAGAAGCAAACACACACACACACACACUUGGACACUCACCCUCCAUUAGAACCUCCCCAUGCCAGAAACCCGGAGUUGUCAACCUCUUCCUUACUGCACAAUGGCGUUGCCACCAUUCAAGAGUCAUAGGAGAAUCCUCGCCUUCUUCGAUACGCUAUACUCGGGAAAAUGAGUUUCCAGAUUUCUGGUGAGAAUGCCAUGACUUGCAGACAUUUUCCGGCGAAACUCCGGCUGUGUCACGGCCUCCAAUAGGACUUAGAAUCGAGGUGUACAAUCCCGGUGUUAAGGCACUUCCGCAUCCGCAUCUUCAAGUUCUCUCGGUGUAGGACCCACUUCUUGUUCAUUCAAUUUUAUACCAUUUCUUUUCUAGUGUAUAUAAUUAGUUGUAUGCUCCGAACACGUUCCUCAUUUGCAUAUUAAUUACAUUUAGAUUUAUAAGUCUUAUUUAUUUUCUUGUUCUCAUGCAUCCUAAUAUGUCUUCGUCACCUUCGGGUGUCGGCUAACUCGUACCUACCCUGGUGUUCGGAAAAUUUCGGGUUCGGGCAUGUCAUAACACUUCUGGAAACAAUGAUUUUGUUGCUUUUCAGAUCAAACACCAUGUAACCCUUCUCUUUUGUCCCAUAUCCAACAAACAUACAUUUCUGUCCUGUUUCAUCUAGUUUAUGCCUUAGCUGAGUUGGAACAUGAGUAUAACAUACAAAACCAAAGAUUCUCAAAUGUUUUACCCUUGGUUUUCUACCAUUGAACUCUUCAAAUGGAGUUUUGUUCUUUAACACCUUGGUAGGACAUUUAUUCAAAAGAUAGACAACAGUGUGAAUUGCUUCACCUUAGAAUUUGAGAGGUAGUUUCUUUUCAUAAAGCAUGGUUCUUGCCAUCUUUACAAUGGUACGGUUCUCCCUCUCAGCAAUGCCAUUUUGCUAGGGAGAAUAAGCAACAGUUAGCUGUUUUUCAAUACCAACAUCUUCACAACAUUUCUCAAACUGCAAUGAUGUGUACUCUCAUCCUCUGUCAAUUCUAAGUUUCUUCAACUUAAAUCUAGUUUGUAGUUCCACCAUAGCCUUGAACAUUUUGAAAAUUAUGAACACUUCAGACUUGCUCUUUAAGAAAUAAACCCAGCACAUUAUGGACUUAUCAUCAAUAAAAGUGAGGAAAUACUUGCUGCCACCAAAUGUCCCACACAUGGGUCCAUAAACAUUUGAAUGAACAAGCUCGAGUGGAAGAGAUGCUUUCCAUUUCUAUUCUUUGUCAAAAGCUUAUAUGUGAGCUUUCCCAGUAGCACAACCUUCACACACUUGAUUGUGGUCUUUAAGAUAUGGUAAACCAUACAACAUGCUCUUUUCCUUCAACAUCCUCAAGCUAUCUUAAUUCAAAUGCCCAAAUCUUCUAUGCCAUUUCCAUGAGUUGUCUUUAGUAGAUGCUCUAUUUGCCAUAAUGUGAUCCAUAGAUUCAAAUAUUAAAGGGAAGCAUCUAUUCUCCUUCAUUUGCACAGUAGCAACAUGAUCUUGUAGCUCACUGUCACCAAAGAUACAAGCCAUAAAGUCACCAAAUAAAAGCCAGUAUCCAUGUUUAACCAUUUGAUCCACACUGAGAAGGUUCUCAUCUAGACCGGGCACAAUCAUAACUUCUGGUAUGAACCUUGUUUCUCUCUUAGUGUCAACUACUAGAGUUCAUUUGCCAAUUGAAUCAACCAAGUCUUCUGUGCCCAUUUUUCACCUUGCAUCUUGUACUUCUGUCAAUAUUGAUAAGUAAUGGUUCAAUACUAGUCAUGUGGUUACUACAACCACUAUCUAGGUACCAAACUCCACUAUUACCUUGCACAAAGGCCUUAUGGCAAGAAUAAAACAGCAUUGCCUUAUCCUAGACAUGGUUCAAAUAGUUGGUAGCUUGAGUUUUCUUUGGUUGAUGGCAAUCCUUCGCCAUAUGUCCAAACCUAUUACAAUUGUGACCUUUGGGUUUCCCUUUGAACCAACACUCUCCAUAGUGAGCCUUAUCAUAAAUUUUGCAUUUUUGUUUACUACCAUUAGUAAUCUCACCUUGUCUCUCAGGUUGAUGACUUUUGUUUUUCCACUUCUUGGGUUUAGACUUCCAAUUGUUUUUUCCUUUGCUGUGAUUUCCCUGUACAAAUGGUUUAUUUUGUGUAUUUGAUGCAAAAAUCAUACUAGAGAAGGCAUGCUCUAAGCUUGUAGUAUCAUCUUCAUGUCUACUCAACCUAAGUUCAUAGCUUUUAAGAAAUCCAACCACCUCUUGCACAGUCACAAUAUUCAAAUCAGAAGUUCUUUCAAUCACAACACAAAUUGGAUCAUACUUAUUAGAUAGGCUAAUCAAAACCUUUUGAACCUCUCUUUAGUGAGUGAGAAUCUCACCAUAAGAUUUCAUUUGAUUAAUUAAUUCAAAUAGUCUAGUAGGAUAGGCAGCGAAUGAUUCAUUUUCUUUCAUCCUCAUAUAUUCAAACUCACGAAGCAAACUUUGAAGUUUAACAUACCUUGCAUGUUCAUCACUACGAAAUUCCUCUUGGAGUAGAUCCUAGUGUCACGGGCCAUAUGUUACAAACAAAGAAAACGCCCAAGACAUCAUAUAUCUAAGCCCAUAAAGCCUUGUCUUCAUGGAAGCUUCUGGAACAUCCCGGAAAAAUCAAGAACAUGGCGGAGCGUUCAAGAUAAUCUAGGAUCCACACAAGUGUACAAAUUCAAGCCUCACCUAGAACAAUCUAGAUUAGGCAAGUUGUAUCUAGAACUAUACUAGAUAUUUUUGGAUGUAAGUAGGGAAUUCUAGAACCCUCCAUUGAGGAGGUUACUUAGGCCUAUAAAUAGGAGGCAAGGCCAUUUGGCCAAGGCAUCCAAGAAUUGUAAGCAAUUGUAAAGUUCUCCUAAGUUUCAAUACAAAGCUUCCUUUCUCCCA
Molecule: long non-coding RNA, 3041 nt
Organism: Pyrus x bretschneideri (Chinese white pear)
Lineage: Eukaryota; Viridiplantae; Streptophyta; Magnoliopsida; Rosales; Rosaceae
Exons: 3
Source: RefSeq, a predicted model, not a curated record